CCUACGGGGGGCAGCAGUGAGGAAUAUUGGUCAAUGGGCGCAAGCCUGAACCAGCCAAGUCGCGUGAGGGAUGACGGUCCUAUGGAUUGUAAACCUCUUUUGUCGGGGAGCAAGGCCCGCCACGUGUGGCGGGAAGGAGAGUACCCGAAGAAAAAGCAUCGGCUAACUCCGUGCCAGCAGCCGCGGUAAUACGGAGGAUGCGAGCGUUAUCCGGAUUUAUUGGGUUUAAAGGGUGCGUAGGCGGAAGGUUAAGUCAGCGGUCAAAUGUCGGUGCUCAACACCGGCCUGCCGUUGAAACUGGUCUU
RNAcentral lists this ribosomal RNA (305 nucleotides) under uncultured bacterium. Its description in RNAcentral is "bacterial SSU rRNA". It matches the Rfam family "Bacterial small subunit ribosomal RNA", at positions 338 to 640 of the family's 1533-position model. The record is from RNAcentral.